This 253-nucleotide ribosomal RNA is filed under the name uncultured bacterium. Its description in RNAcentral is "partial 16S ribosomal RNA". It matches the Rfam family "Bacterial small subunit ribosomal RNA", at positions 524 to 776 of the family's 1533-position model. The record is from RNAcentral.
UACGUAGGGUGCAAGCGUUGCCCGGAUUUAUUGGGCGUAAAGGGCGCGUAGGCGGCUCUGCACGUUCGUUGUGAAAUCGCCCGGCUCAACUGGGCGGGGUCAGCGGAUACGGCAGAGCUUGAGCAAGCUAGGGGGCAAUGGAAUUCCCGGUGUAGUGGUGAAAUGCGCAGAUAUCAGGAGGAACACCGGUGGCGAAGGCGGUUCUCUGGGCAUGUCCUGACGCUGAGGAGCGAAAGUGUGGGGAGCGAACAGG